Molecule: transfer RNA, 73 nt
Filed under: Canis lupus familiaris (dog)
Lineage: Eukaryota; Metazoa; Chordata; Mammalia; Carnivora; Canidae
Also listed under: 1 other name
Rfam family: tRNA
About the family: Transfer RNA (tRNA) molecules are approximately 80 nucleotides in length. Their secondary structure includes four short double-helical elements and three loops (D, anti-codon, and T loops).
Source: Rfam by way of RNAcentral
GCUUGGCUGGCUCUGACAGUAGAGCAUGUGACUUUCAAUCUCAGAGUCAUGAGUUCAAGCCUCACAUUAGGCA